RNAcentral lists this ribosomal RNA (620 nucleotides) under Porpidia flavocaerulescens. Its description in RNAcentral is "LSU rRNA". It matches the Rfam family "Eukaryotic large subunit ribosomal RNA", at positions 32 to 667 of the family's 3401-position model. Lineage: Eukaryota; Fungi; Ascomycota; Lecanoromycetes; Lecideales; Lecideaceae. The record is from RNAcentral.
GACUAAGCAUAUCAAUAAGCGGAGGAAAAGAAACCAACAGGGAUUGCCUCAGUAACGGCGAGUGAAGCGGCAACAGCUCAAAUUUGAAAUCUGACCCCUUCGGGGCCCGAGUUGUAAUUUGUAGAGGAUGCUUCGGGUGCGGCGCCGGUCUAAGUUCCUUGGAACAGGACGUCAUAGAGGGUGAGAAUCCCGUAUGCGACCGGCGGCCAACCCCGUGUGAAGCCCCUUCGACGAGUCGAGUUGUUUGGGAAUGCAGCUCAAAAUGGGUGGUAAAUUUCAUCUAAAGCUAAAUACCGGCCAGAGACCGAUAGCGCACAAGUAGAGUGAUCGAAAGAUGAAAAGCACUUUGGAAAGAGAGUCAAACAGUACGUGAAAUUGUUGAAAGGGAAGCGCUUGCAACCAGACCUGCCCGCGGGCGAUCAGCCGUUAUUCUUAGCGGUGCACUCGUCCGCGAUCAGGCCAGCAUCGGUUCGAGCGGCCGGAUAAAGGCCUCGGGAAUGUAGCUCCCCCCGGGGAGUCUUAUAGCCCGGGGUGCAAUGCGGCCAGCCCGGACCGAGGACCGCGCUUCGGCUAGGAUGCUGGCGUAAUGGUUGUAAGCGACCCGUCUUGAAACACGGACC